This is a long non-coding RNA of Cydia splendana, 411 nucleotides long. RefSeq lists it as uncharacterized. The record is from RefSeq and is a predicted model, not a curated record. NCBI's taxonomy places the organism in Eukaryota, Metazoa, Arthropoda, Insecta, Lepidoptera, Tortricidae. The transcript is spliced from 3 exons.
AGCGGAGUCCUGGUCCACAUGGGCUGGUCGGACGGGGAGCAGCUGCUGUGUGUGCAGGAGAGCGGAGAUGUGCUCGUUUAUGACAUGUUUGGCGCCUACCAGAAGACAUUCAAUAUGGGGCAAGAAAUUAGGGACACUAAGGUCAGCAAAGCACAGCUGUUCCCAAAUAGGACUGGCUCUAACACCAACCGCUGAGCAACAUCUCCGAGCCCAAAGUCAGGCCCGUACCAGAUCUGCCACAUGACGACACAGAGACUGUAAGGAACGUUUGUCUUAUGCUUCUGGCAUAUGUCAGAAACGUAUCGCCGGCUCGAAAACGGAAAGGCGCAGUGGCUCUGAAGUUUUCUCGCGCGGAAAUAUGCGACGGAUUUUUCAAACAAGUGUCAUCAGAAGCACAUGUCAUUAGCUACA